Molecule: long non-coding RNA, 224 nt
Filed under: Hordeum vulgare
Lineage: Eukaryota; Viridiplantae; Streptophyta; Magnoliopsida; Poales; Poaceae
Description: long non-coding RNA (HVUL_LNC013390)
Source: RNAcentral
UACUUCCCCAUCAAAAUUUGAUCUUCUCAGGACAGGUAAGUUAUUCACAUUCUAAAAUUCUCCUAGGGCUAGUGAUUUGUUGGCCUUUCAUAUGCAAUCCUGAAUUAGUUUCAUAUCUGGUACUUACUAUGCAAACAUCUUUGUUUCUUCUUUCUAUUUGCAUUUCUUUAUGCCGAGGCCUUUCCUUCAUCCUAGAUUAAUGCUCUGCUAGUAAUUCACGCUUC